UGCACCAAACCAGGCUGACCUGCUCCAGGUUGGGCCAAACCAUACUGACUCACUGCAGGUUGCACCAAACCAGGCUGAGCUGAACCAGGUUGGACCAAACCAGGCUGAGCUGCUCCUGGUUGCAUCAAACCAGGCUGGGCUGCUCCUGGUUGGACCAAACCAGGCUGACCUGCUCCAGGUUGGACCAAACCAGGCUGAGCUGCUCCUGGUUGCACCAAACCAACCUGAGCUGCUCCUGGUUGCACCAACCCAGGCUGAACUAUGCCAGGUUGCACUAAACCACG
Molecule: long non-coding RNA, 284 nt
Organism: Panthera uncia (snow leopard)
Lineage: Eukaryota; Metazoa; Chordata; Mammalia; Carnivora; Felidae
Exons: 3
Source: RefSeq, a predicted model, not a curated record